This 253-nucleotide ribosomal RNA is filed under the name uncultured bacterium. RNAcentral describes it as "partial 16S ribosomal RNA". It matches the Rfam family "Bacterial small subunit ribosomal RNA", at positions 524 to 776 of the family's 1533-position model. The record is from RNAcentral.
UACGGAGGGUGCAAGCGUUAUCCGGAAUCACUGGGUUUAAAGGGUGCGUAGGCGGCUGUAUAAGUCAGGGGUGAAAGUCCGCAGCUUAACUUCGGAACUGCCUUUGAUACUGUAGAGCUUGAAAGAGGUUGAGGUCAGCGGAACGUGACAUGUAGCGGUGAAAUGCAUAGAUAUGUCACAGAACACCAAUUGCGAAGGCAGCUGGCUGGGCCUACUUUGACGCUGAGGCACGAAAGCGUGGGGAGCGAACAGG